AAGUCGUAACAAGGUUUCCGUAGGUGAACCUGCGGAAGGAUCAUUACAGUAUUCUAUUGCCAGCGCUUAAUUGCGCGGCGAUAAACCUUACACACUUUGUUUUUAUUAUUAAAGACACCAUUGCUUUGGUGGAUGAGUGUAAAAGCUUGUCCGCCAGAGGUUAACUAAACUCAAUUAUUUAAAGGUAACUUUUUAAAUUGUCAAUAAUAAUUUGUCUGAUUAAUUUCGGAGAAAACAAAUAUUUAAAAU
RNAcentral lists this unclassified non-coding RNA (249 nucleotides) under plant metagenome. Its description in RNAcentral is "partial contains small subunit ribosomal RNA and internal transcribed spacer 1". The stretch from base 1 to 46 matches the Rfam family "Eukaryotic small subunit ribosomal RNA", at positions 1786 to 1831 of the family's 1831-position model. The record is from RNAcentral.